Phasianus colchicus (ring-necked pheasant) is the source of this 877-nucleotide non-coding RNA. NCBI's taxonomy places the organism in Eukaryota, Metazoa, Chordata, Aves, Galliformes, Phasianidae. The record is from RefSeq and is a predicted model, not a curated record.
UCAAGGCGUGGAAGCUCUCCAUUCAGGAGCUGACAGUGCCGGGAAGCCUUCAAGCAGCCAGCGCUCAGCCCACUUGCUGCUAUCAGGUGGACAAAAGAAGAGUGAAAGACCCAGAAAGUUCACAGCACGUUACAUCUAAGAACUAUUCAUUACUUCAAGGCCAAGACAAAGUUUUGAAUCUAUACAUCAAUGAAGUGUUCACAGAAGGAUAACUUACAAGGAAAACUUCAUUCAGAAAAUUUUGCAAACACCCACUUUUUCACCUAAUUUUUCCUUAAUCUGCCACGAUACUUUCCCUUGCUGUUCAGCCUAUGAAUAAUCCAUCACUAUGCCUCCACUUGUUCAAUCUCCUCAAAUGCCCUUUCCGAAGUGGAGAAGCAUAAAGCCUUCUAUCAUCCUUUUAACAAAGUUGUUCCGUGAACAAUGGAAGUAAAAACUCAUUUCCUACCAGUCUCUGUCACACAUGGCUGAAUCUCCACCAUGCUAAUCCCAGCUUCCUGCAUGUUCACUUCUCCUUUGAUGCCAAGACCCCUCCAGUACACGAGUCUAUGCAGACUCUUCCCAUAAUUGUCUUGCACCUCCUGCAGCACCCCAACCCAGGCAAAAGAUAGCAUCUGCUGUACUUAAUCUCAAAACACAUAUGAUGAUGAUGAUGAUCUAUCAACAGACACAGCCAGAAAAUAUAAUCUUUUGCUUUGUUCUGAAGCCCUCCUUUUAGUAGGAAAUUAAUUUCCAUCUCUUUUCUAGGCAGUCACUGAUGUUUAACUUACUGGUAAUAGUAGAUAUCAAAUUAUUGUCAUUUCUUUCUCCUCCUGUUCCCUUGAGCAAAACUAAACAAGAGACUCCAAACUUAUGUGGAAAGUUACAUACACAGAAA